UACGGAGGGUGCGAGCGUUGUCCGGAAUCAUUGGGCGUAAAGGGCGCGUAGGUGGCGGGACAAGCGUGCGGUGAAAGCCUGGGGCUCAACCCCGGGUCGGCCGUGCGAACUGUUUUGCUUGAGCACUGUAGAGGCAGGCGGAAUUCCGGGUGUAGCGGUGGAAUGCGUAGAGAUCCGGAGGAACACCGGUGGCGAAGGCGGCCUGCUGGGCAGUAGCUGACACUGAGGCGCGACAGCGUGGGGAGCAAACAGG
RNAcentral lists this ribosomal RNA (253 nucleotides) under uncultured bacterium. Its description in RNAcentral is "partial 16S ribosomal RNA". It matches the Rfam family "Bacterial small subunit ribosomal RNA", at positions 524 to 776 of the family's 1533-position model. The record is from RNAcentral.